Molecule: non-coding RNA, 21 nt
Organism: Caenorhabditis elegans
Lineage: Eukaryota; Metazoa; Nematoda; Chromadorea; Rhabditida; Rhabditidae
Source: Ensembl
UUCUUAGUCCAUUCGUGUUGA